This 714-nucleotide long non-coding RNA is filed under the name Androctonus crassicauda. Lineage: Eukaryota; Metazoa; Arthropoda; Arachnida; Scorpiones; Buthidae. The record is from RNAcentral.
CCACAAGGCGUGUGCCUCUCUGCCACAUCCCGAGUGAAUUUGGGACACACACACUCACACACACACACACACACACACACACACACAAGGCGGUGCUGGGCAAUGGCUGAGUCUCCUCUCUGGAGCCUGCAGUGCUUCCCUGGGCCAGCCCCCAUUCCAUGCCCCUGCCCCAUCCUCCCCAAAGGUGACCCCCAGGCCCAGAACGAAGUGACUUGGUUGUGACCUCCACCCCAUGGGAAUGCAGAAGGUGCUUUUUCUUUCUCUGAUGUCCUGGCCACCUUGUCUGGUAGUCACUGAGCCUCCAGGCAGCUCAUACAGCUCCAGCCCCCAGGUGCGCAGGAAACAGUCAUUAGACCUCUGCCCCGAGCCUGAGUGAUCAGGGGCAGUUUCGGGGCCAUGGGGAGGCCACCACAGGUCGCUUGACCUUCAAGAGCUUGCGGCUGGGUCCCCUGAAAAGCCAUACAUCGACACUCCGCCCACUUCCCCCCAACCUGCCCCCAUCCCUGGAGACUAUUGCCAAAUGUUGUAAAGACUGGUCACCAGGUUCUCAGAAGCAAUCUGUGGUUCUAGCAGGUUCUACCCCAUCUGUGUGUGGAUGUCCAGUGGUUUUUAUUUCUGAUUAAAAAAAAAAAAAUUCCAGGUGUGCCACACCCACUUUCCUGCAGUGUUUUAAUAUCGUGUGGAAUUGUUACUACCUAGUGAAUUAAUAGAUCG